Molecule: ribosomal RNA, 235 nt
Filed under: uncultured bacterium
Lineage: Bacteria
Description: partial 16S ribosomal RNA
Rfam family: Bacterial small subunit ribosomal RNA
Source: RNAcentral
CGGACGGGUGAGUAACGCGUGGGUAACCUACCCUGUACACACAGACAACAUACCGAAAGGUAUGCUAAUACGGGAUAAUAUAUUUGAGAGGCAUCUCUUGAAUAUCAAAGGUGAGCCAGUACAGGAUGGACCCGCGUCUGAUUAGCUAGUUGGUAAGGUAACGGCUUACCAAGGCGACGAUCAGUAGCCGACCUGAGAGGGUGAUCGGCCACAUUGGAACUGAGACACGGUCCAA